This 290-nucleotide small nuclear RNA is filed under the name Fukomys damarensis (Damara mole-rat). RNAcentral describes it as "7SK RNA". It matches the Rfam family "7SK RNA". From Rfam's summary of the family: 7SK was discovered as an abundant small nuclear RNA in the mid-70s but a possible function has only recently been suggested. The record is from Rfam by way of RNAcentral. Lineage: Eukaryota; Metazoa; Chordata; Mammalia; Rodentia; Bathyergidae.
GGAUGUGAGGGCGAUCUGGCUGUCACCCCAUUGAUCGCCAGGGUUGAUUCGGCUUAUCUAGCUGGUUAGGCAGGUGUCCCCUUCCUCCCUCACCACUCCAUGUACAUCCCUCCCGCGCUCGUCAAAGAGGACGACCACCCCCGAUAGAGGAGGACCGUUUCCUUGGUCAAGGGUAUAUGAAUAGCUGCGCUCCCCUGCUAGAACCUCCAAACAAGUUGUCAAGUGUACCAGUCAGCUCUGCAAUUAGGAAAAAGUACAUGGACAUCAGAAAAAUGUAUAAACCCUUGUAC